Molecule: ribosomal RNA, 446 nt
Filed under: uncultured bacterium
Lineage: Bacteria
Description: partial 16S ribosomal RNA
Rfam family: Bacterial small subunit ribosomal RNA
Source: RNAcentral
AACGAACGCUGGCGGCAUGCCUAACACAUGCAAGUCGAACGAUGCCUUCGGGCAUAGUGGCGCACGGGUGCGUAACGCGUGGGAAUCUGCCCUUGGCUUCGGAAUAACAGUUAGAAAUGACUGCUAAUACCGGAUGAUGUCCCCCUGAGAGAUCUUGGGGACCAAAGAUUUAUCGGCCAGGGAUGAGCCCGCGUAGGAUUAGGUAGUUGGUGGGGUAAAGGCCUACCAAGCCGACGAUCCUUAGCUGGUCUGAGAGGAUGAUCAGCCACACUGGGCAGGAGACCGGGCCCAGACCCCAGGGGGAGGGGGGAGUGGGGAAAAUAGGACAGGGGGGGGAACCCAGACCCAGCAAGGCCGGGAGGGGGAUGAAGGCCUUGGGGUGGUAAAGCUCUUUUACCAGGGAGGUAAAGAAGGGAACCGGGAAAAAAGGCCCGGGCAAACCCGGG